UUAACACAUGCAAGUGGUGCGACGAACCAGGGCUUGCCCUGGGGCAGAGCCGCGAACGGGUGAGUAACACGUGGGUUACCUGCCUCGAUGACCGGGACAACCCGAGGAAACUCGGGCUAAUACCGGAUGUGCCCGCAAGGGGAAAGGAAGCUUCGGCCUCCGCAUCGAGAUGGGCCCGCGGCCCAUUAGCUUGUUGGUGAGGUAACGGCUCACCAAGGCUUCGAUGGGUAGCUGGUCUGAGAGGACGAUCAGCCACACUGGGACUGAGACACGGCCCAGACUCCUACGGGAGGCAGCAGUGGGGAAUCUUGCGCAAUGCGCGAAAGCGUGACGCAGCAACGCCGCGUGGGGGAAGAAGGCUUUCGGGUUGUAAACCCCUUUCAGUUGGGACGAAGCUUCUCCGGUGAAUAGCCGGACGGAGUGACGGUACCUUCACAAGAAGCACCGGCUAACUACGUGCCAGCAGCCGCGGUAAU
This 476-nucleotide ribosomal RNA is filed under the name uncultured bacterium. RNAcentral's name for it is "bacterial SSU rRNA". It matches the Rfam family "Bacterial small subunit ribosomal RNA", at positions 48 to 524 of the family's 1533-position model. The record is from RNAcentral.